Molecule: transfer RNA, 72 nt
Filed under: Camelus bactrianus (Bactrian camel)
Lineage: Eukaryota; Metazoa; Chordata; Mammalia; Artiodactyla; Camelidae
Also listed under: 2 other names
Rfam family: tRNA
About the family: Transfer RNA (tRNA) molecules are approximately 80 nucleotides in length.
Source: Rfam by way of RNAcentral
GUGGGUAUAGUUCAGUGGCAGAGCACAUACUUAGCAUGCACGAAGUCCUGGGUUCAAUCCCCAGUACCUCCA